UUGAGUUCACUGGGAAUAGACAUUAAGAGAGAGACGUGUGAAAGAUCUAUUUAUUGGGGUUUGCUCUCAGGAAGAACACUUGAGUGAAAGAAGCUAGACUCUACACAGAGAGAAAGUGAACUGCAGUGAAGUUGCAGCAAAGGCCACUGCCUAUCCCACGGGAGCUCUGGAGCCCUCCCUCCAGUCUCUCACCAGUGCCCCAGAAGCCUGGGCAAUGCAGUCUGAAAGGGUCAAGGCAAAGCAGAGGAAAUGAGCACUCAGCACGAGGGCAAAUAGGACUGAGAGCAGUAUUGGAUGGUUGUAGCUUUGACAAAGCAGUAUUGGA
Long non-coding RNA from Prionailurus viverrinus (fishing cat), 325 nucleotides. RefSeq lists it as uncharacterized. Lineage: Eukaryota; Metazoa; Chordata; Mammalia; Carnivora; Felidae. The record is from RefSeq and is a predicted model, not a curated record. The transcript has 3 exons.